GUUUUUAUUGAUAUGAAGAGCUUGCUCUGAUUUGAUUUUCCCUGACAAAGAGUGGCGAACGGGUGAGUAACACGUGGGUAACCUACCUCUUAGCAGGGGAUAACAUUUGGAAACAAGUGCUAAUACCGUAUAACACUAACAACCGCAUGGUUGUUAGUUGAAAGAUGGUUCUGCUAUCACUAAGAGAUGGACCCGCGGUGCAUUAGCUAGUUGGUAAGGUAAUGGCUUACCAAGGCGAUGAUGCGUAGCCGAGUUGAGAGACUGAUCGGCCACAAUGGGACUGAGACACGGCCCAUACUCCUACGGGAGGCAGCAGUAGGGAAUCUUCCACAAUGGGCGCAAGCCUGAUGGAGCAACGCCGCGUGUGUGAUGAAGGGUUUCGGCUCGUAAAACACUGUUAUAAGAGAAGAACGACAUUGAGAGUAACUGUUCAGUGUGUGACGGUAUCUUAUCAGAAAGGAACGGCUAAAUACGUGCCAGCAGCCGCGGUAAUACGUAUGUUCCAAGCGUUAUCCGGAUUUAUUGGGCGUAAAGCGAGCGCAGACGGUUAUUUAAGUCUGAAGUGAAAGCCCUCAGCUCAACUGAGGAAGGGCUUUGGAAACUGGAUAACUUGAGUGCAGUAGAGGAAAGUGGAACUCCAUGUGUAGCGGUGAAAUGCGUAGAUAUAUGGAAGAACACCGGUGGCGAAAGCGGCUUUCUGGACUGUAACUGACGUUGAGGCUCGAAAGUGUGGGUAGCAAACAGGAUUAGAUACCCUGGUAGUCC
This 765-nucleotide ribosomal RNA is filed under the name uncultured bacterium. RNAcentral describes it as "bacterial SSU rRNA". It matches the Rfam family "Bacterial small subunit ribosomal RNA", at positions 44 to 796 of the family's 1533-position model. The record is from RNAcentral.